CGGAUUGAAGGCUGAAAUUCGCCUUCAUGAAGCUGGAAUUGCUAGUAAUGGCAGGUCAGCAUACUGCCGUGAAUACGUUCCCGGGCCUUGUACACACCGCCCGUCACACCAUGAGAGUUGGGAAUACCCGAAGCCUGUGAGCUAACUUUAAGAGGCAGCAGUCGAAGGUAGAAUCAAUGAUUGGGGUGAAGUCGUAACAAGGUAGC
RNAcentral lists this ribosomal RNA (206 nucleotides) under uncultured bacterium. RNAcentral's name for it is "partial 16S ribosomal RNA". It matches the Rfam family "Bacterial small subunit ribosomal RNA", at positions 1294 to 1500 of the family's 1533-position model. The record is from RNAcentral.